Molecule: ribosomal RNA, 497 nt
Filed under: uncultured bacterium
Lineage: Bacteria
Description: partial 16S ribosomal RNA
Rfam family: Bacterial small subunit ribosomal RNA
Source: RNAcentral
GAUGAACGCUGGCGGCGUGCCUAAUACAUGCAAGUCGAGCGAACGGACGAGAAGCUUGCUUCUCUGAUGUUAGCGGCGGACGGGUGAGUAACACGUGGAUAACCUACCUAUAAGACUGGGAUAACUUCGGGAAACCGGAUCUAAUACCGGAUAAUAUUUUGAACUGCAUGGUUCAAAAGUGAAAGACGGUCUUGCUGUCACUUAUAGAUGGAUCCGCGCUGCAUUAGCUAGUUGGUAAGGUAACGGCUUACCAAGGCAACGAUGCAUAGCCGACCUGAGAGGGUGAUCGGCCACACUGGAACUGAGACACGGUCCAGACUCCUACGGGAGGCAGCCGUAGGGAAUCUUCCGCAAUGGGCGAAAGCCUGACGGAGCAACGCCGCGUGAGCGAUGAAGGUCUUCGGAUCGUAAAACUCUGUUAUUAGGGAAGAACAUAUGUGUAAGUAACUGUGCACAUCUUGACGGUACCUAAUCAGAAAGCCACGGCUAACUACGUG